ACCAAAGAGUCUAAAAAUUGUUCCUGAUCCAGUCAGACUGAGUGACACGAAGCACAAUAAGUUCUUCAGUCCACAUAGCAACAAGAUAAGUAUCACUCUA
Long non-coding RNA from Thalassophryne amazonica, 100 nucleotides. RefSeq lists it as uncharacterized. Lineage: Eukaryota; Metazoa; Chordata; Actinopteri; Batrachoidiformes; Batrachoididae. The record is from RefSeq and is a predicted model, not a curated record. The transcript is spliced from 3 exons.